CGAUAACAAAAACAAACUUGACAAGACCUUUUGUCGGGCGCGCAGUUGAUUUUGCAGUAAAAGCUAAACCUGAGAAAAGGUGUGCGAUCAUGGUUUUUGGCGAAGCUCUCGUGUUGGCGUUCCUGGCCACAACCAUAGCCUUGUUUGGAGUGUCUGUACACAGCAUUUUCACAUCGAAACACAGUUCGCUGGUGGAGUUGCGAAAACUUGAGGAUCAGAUGAUGGAAAAAUAUGGCUGGAAUCCUUCAAUGCCUUACAAUGCAUACAACUAAAGAUGAAAAGCGAAGUGGACAAAUUAAAGUUUCACUGGAUUUUUUAACUAAAUACUGGCCCUCAGUUAGUGUAGAGAAACCGUGGAUCGAGGUUGCAUUGGGAUUCAUAGUUUCCACAAGCAGUUUUUGUACAUUGCGUGUUAACCUAAACAUCGUAGACAGACUGAAUAGCAAAGAUGACCUAGAAAGUUCUCGCCGGGCAUAACUACCAGAUUAACACAAACAUUUUAAAGAAAUGGAAAAAAAAAAAAAAAACUUUUAUGCUUUACUUCGUACAACAAAGUAACGUGAACCAGUUUGAUACAGUUUUCUGAUCCUUAAUAAUAAUAAUUCAGCUUUUAAGGGUAUUUGUCAGUCAAAUGGUAUUUGUAGGUUAAAAGAUUUUAAUCGAAACGAACUUACUGUCAAGAUUAAUUGAGAUCAGUUGAGCUUAGGAUCCGGAAUUGAGUAGAGAGAAUUGAAAUAAAGCAUUUUUCGAGUCGUAUGUGA
Stylophora pistillata is the source of this 761-nucleotide long non-coding RNA. RefSeq lists it as uncharacterized. The record is from RefSeq and is a predicted model, not a curated record. Lineage: Eukaryota; Metazoa; Cnidaria; Anthozoa; Scleractinia; Pocilloporidae.